ACUCUAGCAAUCCCACCUGCCAUUGCAACCAAUGGUAUUUUGACCAUACACGAUUUUGGCUUUAUGCGCUGUUCCCAAAUGUAACCCCCAUGUAUGUUGCAGAAGUAAGUUCCAUUAAAAACAAUGUAGCAUUUCUUAGUAAGGUUGCAUUGUAAGUCAAUCAUACAGAACAGAACCGAGUACAGUGGUAAUCUGUUUUCGAACAUAAUCUGUUCCGGAAGACCAUUCGACUUUUGAAACGUUCGAAAACCGAAGCAGGCAUUUCCAGAAGCAUUUACUUAUGGAAAACUCAAUACAGAAGCCACACGGCACGUUCAACUUCCAAAAAGCAUUCGAAAACCGAAGCAUUUGCGUGGACAGGCAGAGUCCCCCCAACCCCAGGCAACCCCCGUGUGGAAUAACGACUCAAGACAAUGUGCUAUGGGAUUAAAAUUGGCCACAACUUUAUUAAGUUUCAGAUGUAGGAAGACCUUGGCUCAGGCACUGGGUGUUUAUCCUUCCCAGUCCCCAGCCAGGGAUCUGGGGGACACCAGGGUUAUCCAGAGUGUGUGGGGACUGGGCUGGCUCUGGAGAACAUAUGUUUAAGCAGAGAGCCCGCCCCCCAUUUUGCUGCCAUCUCAGGGGAGAGCAAUGACAACCUCUCGGCGUAUGGCCAAUGCGUCCCCUCAAGAUCCCUUUAACAGGGAACCUUGGGAUUGCCGCUGCAAGGGGGACGUGAGUCACUGCUUCACGCCCCCCCCCCCCAUUUAGGGAAGAUAGACUAAAGGAUUCUGCCCAAGGCCUGAAACCGCCAAAGUUGUGACGUUUGGCUACGGGGAAGGCAAAACCUGCCAAUGCAGGAAAAUUCCUUUCUGGCCCUUCAACAGCGACCAUGAUGUAGCAGCGCCCGCAUACCUGUGAAGAAUAGGUUAACCUGCAAAAGAAAGCUUAACUGAGGGAGGGGAGGGAGAAGCUCUGGAGCCGACUGCCACUUCGCAGGUAAGAUUCACCUUCUGUUGUAUGGGCAGGGUGGUCCCUCCCCCUACCUGUCCAAUCCCCUGGUAAUGCCUCCCCAGGCAGGAUUGGGCGAUUAGCUGAAGUAAGCGGAGACCUCCAGGUAUCCAGCCUGAAGAGGGCGAAGCCAGCCCAUACUACCAGGAGCCGCAUUGGGAUCCGGGGGGCUGCACACUACCACACAAAAGGCGCCCCCCAUUUGAUGUGGGGAGUGUUCAUUACUUCUGGGUUUUCGGCAUUCGAAAACAGAAACGUUCGAUUUCCAAGAUGUUCGAAAACCGAGGUACCACUGUAUUAUUAGACCACUGGGUGAAUACAAGUCUCAUGUCUAAGUCAUGGCCUUUGGAUCUACUUCUCUUCUUUAUUCCUCUUUACCCACAGCACUCUUUUAGAUUUCUUGGCUCUUUAGCCCAAACCUCAUCACAUUUGGAGCUCACUGGCUUGCCCGCUGCUGCCAACAUAUUUUUAGAUUUCACAGAAUGUCUUUGAGCUUACAGCCCUGAUGGCUUUUCUUUUUAAACACACCUAAAUAUAACCUGCACAUGUCUUUAAUGGUGCAUUAUAAUGUGUUCCCAUCAGCUUACAAACCUAAGUGGCGUGAGAAAAUGAAUUUAUAGUCAACCAAUAGAUCUGUUUAAUUAUUAACAAGAGAGGGAAACCAAGAGCAAAGCAAACAAACAAAUCGAUCGACCAUCAUGCAUCUUAAAGUAGAGCCUAAGAGUUAUUCUGGGCAGUUGUGCUUGAUUCUGAGAACUUGGGUCGGGAUCUUUUAGCUUGGCAGCUAUCUCAAAUCCCCAACAUAUGCAAAAAAGGCAACAAGACUUGGAUAGGAAUCAGCGGGAGACAGUGACCACAUGUUCAGUUGGCUCGCUUUCAAAGGGAAAGUCAACUAUCCAUUGCUUACAGC
Molecule: non-coding RNA, 1900 nt
Organism: Podarcis lilfordi (Lilford's wall lizard)
Lineage: Eukaryota; Metazoa; Chordata; Lepidosauria; Squamata; Lacertidae
Source: the annotation of a GenBank genome assembly